This 266-nucleotide signal recognition particle RNA is filed under the name bacterium. RNAcentral's name for it is "signal recognition particle sRNA large type". It matches the Rfam family "Bacterial large signal recognition particle RNA". Rfam says of the family: The signal recognition particle (SRP) is a universally conserved ribonucleoprotein involved in the co-translational targeting of proteins to membranes. Archaeal SRP consists of a 7S RNA and homologues of the eukaryotic SRP19 and SRP54 proteins. In most bacteria, the SRP consists of a 4.5S RNA and the Ffh protein (a homologue of the eukaryotic SRP54 protein). The record is from RNAcentral.
CCGCGCUAGGCGGGGAAGUAGCGGUGCCCUGUAACCUGCAAACCGCUAUAGCAGGGCUGAAUUCCCGAUUGAGGUUCUUAGCUACGGCCGGGGAACCAGGAGGGAAAGCGUUGAGUUCCGGGUCUCAUGCAAUGGAGUGUUGUGAACCCGGUCAGGACCGGAAGGUAGCAGCCGUAAGCAAUUCCUCCAUGUGCCGUGAGGCAACCUGGAAGGAGCAGACUCUCCUGGGAAACCGUCCGUAAGCGGAGCCGAUUGAGGGUGCGCGG